Molecule: long non-coding RNA, 1880 nt
Organism: Numida meleagris (helmeted guineafowl)
Lineage: Eukaryota; Metazoa; Chordata; Aves; Galliformes; Numididae
Source: Ensembl
ACACACUCAUCAUCUCUAUUAUGUCAUCAAUUAUUUAACUUGCAGAAGCUGUUUUGUGAACAGACCUUGGAGCAGAAGCCUAUUCCAUUUUCAAUACCACCAGGACAGUCCUAUCUUCAGCAAUUUCUUCCAGCACUAUGUGAAUCAGAGCAUGACAAUGAUUACCUCAUCACCUCUAUAUGCAGGUGACAAGACUUUGGAAUCACAAACAGCUGGUUUCAGCCAUCUACAAUGGAUCCACAACAGGACACAGCUGAGCCCCUCAGCUGGUGUUAUGUAUGAGAAAGCAUAUUUAAGAAAGGGCAAAACAUUAUCUGGCAGGGAGAGAGGUGAGGUUAAAGGAAGGGAGAGAANNNNNNNNNNNNNNNNNNNNNNNNNNNNNNGUGGGCGUGGGCGUGGGCGUGGGCGUGGGCGUGGGCGUGGGCGUGGGCGUGGGCGUGGGCGUGGGCGUGGGCGUGGGCAGCUGUUACAGUCUCCAUUCUGUUGCUCAGAGAAGGAUCUAGGCAGAAGAGCUAAUAACAAAGGAGCAAAGCUGAACCUGUGAAAGAGGAAAAAAGGGUUUGGGAGUGUUUUAGCUAUGGUCUCUUUUUUUUUUUUUCCUCAUUAUCCUCUAUUUUAAUUAGCAAUGAACAUACAUUCCUUAAAGUUGAGUAUGUUUUACCCAUGAUAAUAAUUGAUAAGUGAUCUCUGUCUUUAUCUCAGCCCAUGAACUCUUUCAUUCUAUUUAUGUCUAGCUAAGGAAGAGAUGUGAAAGCAGCCAGGUGAGAGUCUGGCAGCUAGGAGGAUCUUUUAUGUAUGUACCAGACUUGCUGUGCAGAAAUAGGAAAAAAAAAAAAAAUUAAUGACUUUAAAUGCAAGGUUUCUUAUUUCCCUCUUGCCUCCCUACAGACCCCACCAGAGUCUGGAUAAAACACAGAUGAAUUACAGCGAGUCAGGACAACAGAUUAUCAGAGCAGGCAGUUCAGGACUUUCAAGAGCUCCCAGCCCUGUCAAAAGUGCCUCGCCUAGACACGUGUUUUUGAAGGCCAGCGUAUUCCUUCCUACUUGCUACCCUCUUCCUUUCACUUCCUGUGGACAACUCAUUCUGAUCUUUGCUUGAAGCUUUCUGUGGCACUGGGCAGUGCCCCACCUGCUGCCAUCCCCUCUCAGGGACAAUGGUGUGCUCCAGAUUGCAGCACAGACUUCAGCUUGAACUUGUUAAAUAUCUGCUGGGAGGCUUGAAAAUUGAAAUAUUCUGUUCUCUAUGACCUGUAAAUGGGAAUGAAACCUGCAAGACAACUCAUCCCCUACAGGAUGAGGGAAAGAACAAAAAGGUGCUAAAAAAAAUCCCUUGUUUUCUUCCUGGUAAAUAUUACAUGAGGUGAUGCUUUCUGCAAUGUAACCUGUAGCUCCAUUGUGCUAAGAUGCUUUUUCUCAGCUAACAGCUUUUCAAGUUUUAAGUUAUGCUUUAUAUACAGCAGGGAUGCACCUGCUGGCUGAUGGGAUCCUUGUGUUGUCUUCAGACUGGAGGAGAGAGGAUGGCUGCCCUCUGAAAGAUUCUGCAGGGGGUACAGAGCUACCGCUUGAGAAGGACAGAGUCACACAUCUGUCUAGGCAAUCACAAGGGGGUACUAAAACACCAACAAAUAGUGUGGCUGUUGCCUGUUGGUGUGAUGUUCCAGCAUCUAUCUAUUUAAGAUUUCCCAUGGGUUUCUUACUGAGUAGUUGGAGAUGGAAACUUUUGCUGAAUUCUAGUGUAUCAGCAAAGACAUAGACUCUCAGCAGGCUGAGUAAACAAACACCACAUUAGCUACUGAUAGGAUUUUGUGUACUUGCUUGGAUAUUUUAGCAGGAAGUGAGAUGUAGGGGUAGGCUGGAAAUAAAUGGAGACCAUUCAAACA